This 1698-nucleotide ribosomal RNA is filed under the name Pristis clavata (dwarf sawfish). RNAcentral's name for it is "16S ribosomal RNA". It matches the Rfam family "Bacterial large subunit ribosomal RNA". Lineage: Eukaryota; Metazoa; Chordata; Chondrichthyes; Rhinopristiformes; Pristidae. The record is from RNAcentral.
ACCUUAAAGCUAGCCUAAACACCAAAAAACACAGCACUAUCAAACCCAACAUCUUCCAGAAGUUAACUUAAAACAUUCUUAUUUUCAUAGUAUAGGCGAUAGAACAGAAACUUAGAGCCAUAGAUAUAGUACCGCAAGGGAAAGCUGAAAAAGAAAUGAAACAAAUCAUACAAGUAAUAAAAAGCAGAGACUAAACCUCGUACCUUUUGCAUCAUGAUUUAGCCAGAACAAUUGGGCAAAAAGAUUUUAAGUCCACCUUCCCGAAACUAAACGAGCUACUUCGGAGCAGCACACUAGAGCGAACCCGUCUCUGUGGCAAAAGAGUGGGAAGACUCCCAAGUAGAAGUGAAAAGCUUAUCGAGUUUAGUGAUAGCUGGUUGUCCAAGAAAAGAACUUAAAUUCUGCAUUAAUCUAUUCUAUCUGUCACAAACAUGUAAUACCCUCAUAAGGCAAACCGUAAUAAUUAAUAGUUAUUCAAAAGAGGUACAGCCCUUUUGAACCAAGAAACAACUUUCUAAGGUGGGUAACGAUCAUAAUAUAUUAAGGAAACAAACACCUCAGUAGGCCUAAAAGCAGCCACCUGUAAAGCAAGCGUUAUAGCUCCAGCUCCCACCAAACCAAUAAUCCUGAUAAUCUUAUCAAAACCCCCUUCUUCAAUAUUGGACAAUUUUAUCACUAGAUAAAAGAACUUAUGCUAAAAUGAGUAAUAAGAGGUUAAACCUCUCCUUUGACACCAGUGUAAGUCAGAAAGAAUUAAAUCACUGACAAUUAACCGAUACCAGCCACGAGGUUAUUAUUAUAAUACAAAAACAACAAGAAAAACACAUCAUAACCAUCGUUAACCCUACACAGGAGUGUCUCCAGGAAAGAUUAAAAGAAAAUAAAGGAACUCGGCAAACACAAACUCCGCCUGUUUACCAAAAACAUCGCCUCUUGCCAUAACAAGUAUAAGAGGUCCCGCCUGCCCUGUGAUUUUUUUUAACGGCCGCGGUAUCCUGACCGUGCGAAGGUAGCGUAAUCACUUGUCUUUUAAUUGAAGACCCGUAUGAAAGGCACCACGAGAGUUUAUCUGUCUCUAUUUUCCAAUCAAUGAAAUUGAACCCCUCGUGCAGAAGCGAGAAUAAUAACAUAAGACGAGAAGACCCUAUGGAGCUUUAAACACUUAAGUUAAUUAUUUCCUAAAAUCCCUCCUCGGACAUAACACAUACUACAAAUAAAUAUAACUUAACUUGUUUUUGGUUGGGGCGACCAAGGGGAAAAACAAAACCCCCUUAUCGAUUGAGUAUUUAAUAUACUUAAAAACUAGAACAAACAGUUCUAAUUCAUAGAACAUCUACCGAACAAUGACCCAGGAUAAUAUAAUCCUGAUCAAUGAACCAAGUUACCCUAGGGAUAACAGCGCAAUCCUUUCCUAGAGUCCUUAUCGCCGAAAGGGUUUACGACCUCGAUGUUGGAUCAGGACAUCCUAAUGGUGUAGCUGCUAUUAAGGGUUCGUUUGUUCAACGAUUAACAGUCCUACGUGAUCUGAGUUCAGACCGGAGCAAUCCAGGUCAGUUUCUAUCUAUGACGAUAUUUUUCCUAGUACGAAAGGACCGGAAAAAUGAAGCCACUGUUUUAAACACGCUUCUUUCCCAUCUAUUGAAGAAUAACUAAAAUAGAUAAGGGAAAAUCACAAACAAGCCAAAGAUAAUGGUUCGU